AAUAACCUUUUCUCCUUCAUUAAUCAGUGUUGCAUCCAGAUCCUUCUGUAUGGGUCGGAUGAAGCAGGUGGCUUGUCCCAAAUAACAAUUUGAGAGGUACUCCACAGUCUACCCAUGCAGUUCAGGAUUUAUAAGCUGGAGUGUUGAUCUUGAGGUGGAUGAUGUCCGCAGAAGUUCGAUUCCGUCACAUCCCUUCAGUUUAAGAAAAUUUAUCCUCUAGCUGUUGGAGGAAAUCAGGAGCAUCGGAAGUUUUAACUAAGGUCAAUUACCUUUCUCAAAGACCAGCCUCAUAUAAAGUCCUUUUCUCAUCUUUGCUGGGAACGUUUCCUAAAAGUAAUGUAAAGUAUAUUAUUUUCACUAAUGCAAAAUAUUAGAUAAAUGUGUUUGGUGGUAAUUGAUGCUACAUGUAUGUUGUAAAUUCUAUGGAUGGUGGAUGAGGAAACACGAGCUAUUCGCUGUUCAUACCAUGUCAUGGAACUGCUCUGUGUUUUGGUACAGUCAUAAAUGUAGGUUUUAUCAAUGUCUGAAAUUGUCAUACGGUCACUGAUCCCUUUACAUUUUGAAUACAAGUCAUCUAUUGUCAAGUUGUGGUUGUCUGAGGAAUACAAACUGUUCAAUGGUAAAGGCAUUUUGGCAAUAGUUGGAGCUGGUCGUGUCCGAAAGAAUUUGUCGGAAACACCAUCAAAGGUAGACAAGGCGACUGGCCUGGUUUAACAGGAAUAGCGUGCACUUAAAAGUUCUUGCUGCUGGUCAAUUGAGGAUGCUGCAAACUUCUUUACUUUUCUUCUUUUAGUUUCUUCACUCUGGCUGCUUUAUAGCAAUUUAUUUUACUUAUUGUUGCCGGGACUAUACCUUUUUGACAAAGUCGGCAUUCCAGCUCUAUUGUUC
Molecule: long non-coding RNA, 888 nt
Filed under: Mytilus galloprovincialis (Mediterranean mussel)
Lineage: Eukaryota; Metazoa; Mollusca; Bivalvia; Mytilida; Mytilidae
Source: RNAcentral